AGGAAGGAAGGGAAGGGAAGGGCAGGGCAUUGUAGAGUGUGCUUACACAAACCUAGAUGGCAUAGCCUACUAAAAUACAGCAUUAUAAUGUGGGACUACCAUUGCAUAUGUUGUUCAUUAUUGACCAAACCAUUGUUAAGAGGCAUGUGGCUGUAUUUGGGAAUUAGGCCCUUGGAAGGUAAUUAAGAUUAAAUGAGUCAUAGGGUGGGGGCCUGAACUGACAGGAUUAGUGCCCUUAUAAGAAGUGACACCGGAGAGCUGACCCUCUUCCCUCCCACACACAUACCAAGGAAAGGCCAUAUGAGGAUGCAGCAAGAAGGCAGCCACCUGCAAGCCAAGAAGAGCGCCCUCACCUGAAACCAAGCCCUGCUGGCCCCUUGAUCUUGGACUUCCCAGCCUCCAGAACUUGUCUGAGCUGACGCAGCUUCAGGAGAGGCCAAGACCAAGCUGCAAGAAGAGAAAACUAGAAUGAACUCGACCUCUCUCAGAUUGACAUCCCUCUCCAGAGGUGUCCAGGGAUGGUGUUUUUAAACCCAGAAUUCAGGAGAAACUUACUAGAAGGCACAGAUUUUGAUGAAGUGCAAGAACGGGCUAAUAGACAUAUACACCACGGAAUACUAUGCAGCCAUAAAAAGAAUGAAAUCAUACCCUUUGCAGCAACAUGGAUGCA
Molecule: non-coding RNA, 670 nt
Organism: Chlorocebus sabaeus (green monkey)
Lineage: Eukaryota; Metazoa; Chordata; Mammalia; Primates; Cercopithecidae
Source: RefSeq, a predicted model, not a curated record